RNAcentral lists this ribosomal RNA (649 nucleotides) under Stenotrophomonas maltophilia. RNAcentral's name for it is "partial 23S ribosomal RNA". It matches the Rfam family "Bacterial large subunit ribosomal RNA", at positions 380 to 1032 of the family's 2925-position model. Lineage: Bacteria; Pseudomonadati; Pseudomonadota; Gammaproteobacteria; Lysobacterales; Lysobacteraceae. The record is from RNAcentral.
UGUAUCUGAAAGGGCCAUUCCAGUGAAGACGAGUAGGGCGGGGCACGUGAAACCCUGUCUGAACAUGGGGGGACCAUCCUCCAAGGCUAAAUACUACUGACCGACCGAUAGUGAACCAGUACCGUGAGGGAAAGGCGAAAAGAACCCCGGAGAGGGGAGUGAAAUAGAACCUGAAACCGUGUGCGUACAAGCAGUAGGAGCUCCGCAAGGAGUGACUGCGUACCUUUUGUAUAAUGGGUCAGCGACUUACUGUUCGUGGCAAGCUUAACCGUAUAGGGGAGGCGAAGGGAAACCGAGUCUGAUAAGGGCGCAUAGUCGCGGGCAGUAGACCCGAAACCGGGUGAUCUAGUCAUGCCCAGGGUGAAGGUGCGGUAACACGCACUGGAGGCCCGAACCCACUCCCGUUGCAAAGGUAGGGGAUGAGGUGUGAUUAGGAGUGAAAAGCUAAUCGAACCCGGAGAUAGCUGGUUCUCCUCGAAAGCUAUUUAGGUAGCGCCUCAUAUGUAUCCUCUCGGGGGUAGAGCACUGUUAUGGCUAGGGGGUCAUCGCGACUUACCAAACCAUUGCAAACUCCGAAUACCGAGACGGACUGUAUGGGAGACACACGGCGGGUGCUAACGUCCGUCGUGAAAAGGGAAACAACCCAGAC